CCUAUCUCCUAUAUGCACAAGUCUUAGUUUCUAUAUCAACAACAAAUUUCCCACUAGAACAUUGAACACAAGAUUGUGCUCCUCCAAACCAAUCCACCUCGUAGCCCUAGGCUAACUCAACAAUUUUCAUAAGCUUUUGUUGCACUUUAGGACAUAAACGCCCUAUUACUGUUUUCAUCUUGUCUCUCCUUGCCCAUACCCUCUUCAUGAAACUUAUAUGCAAAUCAAUCGACGUUGUCAAUAUGGAUUUCUCCCUUUCUUCCAACAAAACAUUGUUGAAUACUUAACAUAAAUUGUUUAAAAGUAUGUCAUUAUUUACCUUUGUUAAAAAAAUAAGCAUAGCUCCAUUUACUUGGAUGCCUUUUCUUUAACCAAUUAAACGCUGCAAGACUUUCCUUCACAAUCUCAUCCAUCCAAAACAACCAAUCAGGCACUGUUGUCGACUUUGCAGCCUUCCAUAAGUAUUCCUUUAAUACUAAACUCUAAAAAAAUAGUUUUGAAGAAAUUAGUGUAGAUGUGUCUAACACAAAAACGAUGUUCCGAGGGGUAUAGAUCAUCUAUCACAUUCUAUAAAUCCUUUUGCCUAUUUGUCGUAAUGGUCCAUUCAUUGCUAUUCAUAAUCUUCAAAUCUUCACCUAAAUGUUGCAUUAAACUACCUCCAAGUAAUAGCGUUCUCUCUUUCCACUACAGCAUAUGCUACUAGAUGAAUACAGUCAUUAACACCUAACCCCACUGCCACAAGCAUCUGCCCUACAAAUGACCAUUUCAAGAAGCAACCAUCAAACCCUAGAAGUUGCUUGGAACCCACUAAAAAGGAUCCAUUGCAAGCGUUUAAGCAAAUGUAAACACCUUGAAACUUUGAAGCAUGCAUAGCAACAAUACAUGAAGACGAGAUUGGUUCUCAAAAUUUCAGUAGCAAAAGACAUAAGCAAUCCAAACUGGUGCUCGUCAAAUCCUUGUAUCAUUACCCUUGCAUAUCUUUUAGUUCCUCAUAUGCCAUAACCAUAUUAAUAGUCAAUUUCAAAUCAUCCUUUACAACCUUUAUAAUAAGCUUAGACUUUCGAUCAGGGUCAACUUUGAAGGUAUAUAAAUAUCUCUAUGCUAUGUAUUUGACAGUGCAAUGUCUAUUUGUUUUGUCCCUAACACAUAUAUGCUCAGAGUUUUUAGAUUUUAAUUGCACGCAUCCUUUAUUCUUAUUCUAUGAGGUCCAAAUCCUUUGUGUACAACCUAAUUUACAUAUGGCUUGAGUUCUAAACUCAUCAUUAGGCCUAAAUUUAAAAUUGCAUCUAGUAGCUAAGCCAUGAUUCCUUACAGUUUGCCUAAACUCCUCAAUACUUUUGAACUAUUUUCCCAUCUCUAAUUGUGGAUUGAACUUCUCAUUCUCGACAUCAUAAACAAAGAAAUGGAAAGUAUUUUCUUCACUAGAAGAAUAGUUGGUGUGCUACUCCUCCUUACUUGGACAAUAAGCAUCUUUCGAUUCUGAUUCUUCGUCCCCAACAGUGAAAAGAUNGAUGCUAUGAUCUGCAUUUAAUCCAACCAAAAUCCAUUCAUUUCCAUUCUUAUCAUAAUGAAAAUAAUCACCAUUAACAUCGUCUUUUGAAUCAAUUAAUUUGUAUUCCUCUGAUAACACUUUAUCUCCUUCAAAUAUAUUAUCUGCAAAUAAAUGUGUAAAUGAAAUGGUCAACACAUGUUAUAUGUCCACACAAAAUGCAGACAUUCAUGAAGCUAC
Molecule: long non-coding RNA, 1729 nt
Filed under: Olea europaea subsp. europaea
Lineage: Eukaryota; Viridiplantae; Streptophyta; Magnoliopsida; Lamiales; Oleaceae
Source: RNAcentral